This 329-nucleotide unclassified non-coding RNA is filed under the name soil metagenome. RNAcentral describes it as "partial contains 5.8S ribosomal RNA, internal transcribed spacer 2, and large subunit ribosomal RNA". The stretch from base 1 to 120 matches the Rfam family "5.8S ribosomal RNA", at positions 35 to 154 of the family's 154-position model. The record is from RNAcentral.
GAUGAAGAACGUAGCGAAAUGCGAUAAGUAAUGUGAAUUGCAGAAUUCAGUGAAUCAUCGAAUCUUUGAACGCACAUUGCGCCCCUUGGUAUUCCGAGGGGCAUGCCUGUUCGAGCGUCAUUAUAACCCCUCAAGCUCAGCUUGGUGUUGGGGCCUGCUGCACUGGCAGCCCUUAAAAUCAGUGGCGGCGCCAUCUGGCUCUAAGCGUAGUAAUUCUUCUCGCUAUGGAGUCCUGGUGGAUGCUUGCCAUCAACCCCCAAUUUUUCUAUGGUUGACCUCGGAUCAGGUAGGGAUACCCGCUGAACUUAAACAUAUCAAUAAGCGGAGGA